RNAcentral lists this unclassified non-coding RNA (812 nucleotides) under Hevea brasiliensis (rubber tree). The record is from RNAcentral. Lineage: Eukaryota; Viridiplantae; Streptophyta; Magnoliopsida; Malpighiales; Euphorbiaceae.
CAAGAAACGACGCCACCGCACCACCAAUUUUCCCAUUACAACAUACAGAAAAGAAAAAUCUCUAUCAUCAUUUUUCUCAAGAAAAUAAAAAGCGUGUUGUUUUCCUUUCUUUCUCUGUCUUUAUCUCUUUGCCUAAUUGCCUUUGAAAGGAGACCAAAGUGGAGGUUCUUUUUUUUUUUUGUUAAUUAUUCUACUGGUAUAGUUUUUCUCAUCACCUUAUCUCUCCUCCUUCCAUCUUUAUAAAGUCCCAUACACGAAACCAUGAGAAAAAAUAUUUCCCUGUGGGGAUUCUGAGGGAAGUUAUGGUCUUGGGCUUGUGUGUUCUUACUCAAACCAUAGGUUUCAUCUUGGCAGCUUACAUCCAUGGAAGCAGAUAGGCAGAAGCUCUGUGACAAUCUUGUUGGUUCUAAAUUCUUUCUUUCUGGAUUCUAUUGCUGGGGUUGGGAAUUCUUGACUGCUCUCCUGCUCUUUAGUUGCUCCAUCUAAUCAAAUUCUUUCUUUCUUCCCUGUUUAUUUGCUCUGCAUAGGUAUAUAGUUUUUUUUUUCCUUCUGGUUUAGAUAUUUGUUUGUGUUCCUGGGUGGGUUGGUGAGGGUUAAAUCGGGAACAAAUGGCGCAGCGGUCAGUUCCGGCGCCGUUUUUGACGAAAACGUAUCAGUUGGUGGAUGAUCCGGGCACUGAUGAUGUGAUUUCCUGGAAUGAAACUGGCAACACUUUUGUGGUCUGGAAAACUGCAGAAUUUGCUAAGGAUUUCCUUCCUAAUUGCUUCAAGCACAACAACUUCUCCAGCUUCGUUAGGCAGCUCAACACCUAC